CGAGGUUCAGAUCGACGUCACGAGGAGGCUCUCCGUCUUGGCCGCCCGUCGCUGCUGGACCGUCGUUUUCCGUCUGCACUACCGGAGCCGAAGACUGACCUUGCGUCUACUGGUCCGAUGGUCCAGUACCGGAAGUACCACCGGUCUCAAAGAACCCUCGUGCUCGCUGUUGCCUCGCUCGGAUUGCGGUGGCCAACUGCGGAACCGCUUCCGCAAUG
Molecule: long non-coding RNA, 218 nt
Filed under: Eutrema salsugineum
Lineage: Eukaryota; Viridiplantae; Streptophyta; Magnoliopsida; Brassicales; Brassicaceae
Description: long non-coding RNA (ESAL_LNC000323)
Source: RNAcentral